UGAGGCCCUGCAUGUUCAUUGGUGGGAUGAAUUGGAUCCUACUUAUUUAACAGAUGGGGUACAGUAUAUCCAUUUAAUGAACAUGCAAAAAUCCAAGAUUAAUCCAAAGAUCCUGGACAAAAAAAUCCCUGCCCCAAGCUCACGGCCUAUUAUGAGCCCGUUGACCACUUAUGACUGCCUCAAAUUUGUCACCCACCUGUGAACUCACCGCUUAUUUUACGUUUCUAUUUUUUAUUCGUAAAAAUGAGAAAGCACGGACUCGAAAAAAAAAAACGUCCAAAUCGAAGAGGAAAAAAUAGGGAAAAAAUUUUAAAAAAAGUUCUGAAAAUUAACUUGUGAUCGUAGUUGGGCCAUGAUUUAAUGGGCUUUAAUCGCGUCAAACGUUAGGUUAAAAUCCGAGGUCUCAGAAGCAAAUCAGAGAGAGAGAGAGAGAGAGACUAGAAGAGAGUGCAAGAAUAGAUGGCAUCAGCGGCGGAUAUCAUCUUCAAAGGGUUGACGGGGGCGCUGGCAGCGACGACGCUCUACUUGACAGCUACCUUCUCCGUCAACCUCUAUCGGGGCAUCUCUUGGCACAAUGCUCAAUCCAAGUUGGAGAAAGAAAAAUAUGAAGAAUGAAGUAGACAGGAAGACUACCUGCGAUUCUAUUCAGAAUAUUUGUUAGUGGGAUAAUAGGCUAUAUAUCCUAUUCCUAUAUUAUUUUGUUCUAGUUGGUGGUCUUGAUGCUUAAACAUCAGGUUUUGACAAGGUAUCUUAAAGUUGUUCCAAGACAGAUAUCAGAAAGAGAUUGUUUUCUGUAAGGACUGCGCGUGUAACCUUGUUUUCUCUGUUAUAAGAAUCCUCUUCCCCUUUUUCUUAUUAGUUCA
Molecule: long non-coding RNA, 863 nt
Organism: Zingiber officinale
Lineage: Eukaryota; Viridiplantae; Streptophyta; Magnoliopsida; Zingiberales; Zingiberaceae
Exons: 2
Source: RefSeq, a predicted model, not a curated record